GGGUGAGUAAUGCUUGGGAACAUGCCUUGAGGUGGGGGACAACCAUUGGAAACGAUGGCUAAUACCGCAUAAUGUCUACGGACCAAAGGGGGCUUCGGCUCUCGCCUUUAGAUUGGCCCAAGUGGGAUUAGCUAGUUGGUGAGGUAACGGCUCACCAAGGCGACGAUCCCUAGCUGGUUUGAGAGGAUGAUCAGCCACACUGGAACUGAGACACGGUCCAGACUCCUACGGGAGGCAGCAGUGGGGAAUAUUGCACAAUGGGCGCAAGCCUGAUGCAGCCAUGCCGCGUGUGUGAAGAAGGCCUUCGGGUUGUAAAGCACUUUCAGUCAGGAGGAAAGGUUAGUAGUUAAUACCUGCUAGCUGUGACGUUACUGACAGAAGAAGCACCGGCUAACUCCGUGCCAGCAGCCGCGGUAAUACGGAGGGUGCGAGCGUUAAUCGGAAUUACUGGGCGUAAAGCGUACGCAGGCGGUUUGUUAAGCGAGAUGUGAAAGCCCCGGGCUUAACCUGGGAACUGCAUUUCGAACUGGCAGACUAGAGUGUGAUAGAGGGUGGUAGAAUUUCAGGUGUAGCGGUGAAAUGCGUAGAGAUCUGAAGGAAUACCGAUGGCGAAGGCAGCCACCUGGGUCAACACUGACGCUCAUGUACGAAAGCGUG
RNAcentral lists this ribosomal RNA (657 nucleotides) under Pseudoalteromonas rubra. Its description in RNAcentral is "bacterial SSU rRNA". It matches the Rfam family "Bacterial small subunit ribosomal RNA", at positions 104 to 763 of the family's 1533-position model. The record is from RNAcentral. Lineage: Bacteria; Pseudomonadati; Pseudomonadota; Gammaproteobacteria; Alteromonadales; Pseudoalteromonadaceae.